UACGUAGGGGGCAAGCGUUGUCCGGAAUCAUUGGGCGUACAGCGCGCGUAGGCGGCUCGGUAAGUCCGCUCUGAAAGUCCAGGGCUCAACCCUGGGAUGCGGGGGGAUACUGCCGGGCUCGAGUCCGGAAGAGGCGAGUGGAAUUCCCGGUGUAGCGGUGAAAUGCGCAGAUAUCGGGAGGAACACCAAUGGCGAAGGCAGCUCGCUGGGACGUGACUGACGCUGAGACGCGAAAGCGUGGGGAGCAAACAGG
RNAcentral lists this ribosomal RNA (253 nucleotides) under uncultured bacterium. RNAcentral describes it as "partial 16S ribosomal RNA". It matches the Rfam family "Bacterial small subunit ribosomal RNA", at positions 524 to 776 of the family's 1533-position model. The record is from RNAcentral.